Molecule: long non-coding RNA, 459 nt
Filed under: Hordeum vulgare
Lineage: Eukaryota; Viridiplantae; Streptophyta; Magnoliopsida; Poales; Poaceae
Description: long non-coding RNA (HVUL_LNC016122)
Source: RNAcentral
GUUAGCUUCACUGUACAGAUUUUUUACAUGUGUGCGAUGUAGAUAUUUACCCCAGCAACCAUACUUGUAUUUAUUUGACAUAUUGAAAUUUGGCUGUCAUUUAUCAGGGGUCUUUCUAUGAGUUGUUCCAAGAGUUGCCACUGCUCAGACCUGUGUAGCAACAAGCCAUUCCGCAAGGAUAAGAAAAUUAAAAUUGUCAAGGUAGUUCUGUCUUUCAAAUGAUGUGCUUGUAUACACUUGCCAAUUUAUUCACAAACCUGUGUAGCAACAAGCCAAUCCGCAAGGAUGUGUUUACACCACUCUUCUAAUUUUUCAAGGUCCACUCUUUUCCCCUUCGAGAGUUUGUGUGUGCCAUGAGUUGUACUGCUGGGGAACAGCUAAAUGAAGGGGCAUAUUAUUUAUACAUGGGCCACUUACAUAAGCACUUCAGCUAAUUGCUACGCAAUGCAAAUGAAUAUA